CUGGUAGUAUCUCUGGCUGCUGUUGACCUUGUUUUUGGAGUAAAACACGCUGAAUUAGUGAGGAUGACUCCUGCUCCUGUCAUCUCUAAGCUCCUCACACAUCUUUACCUGCACAUGAGGAAAAUCACUCCUGUAGGAUGCAGAUGUUCAGAGGGAGAUGAUGCCACAUCUGGUCCAGCCGAUGGAAGGUCUUGAAGUUCUCUGACUGGCCUCGACUGAAGAUGGUCGUCUCACUGGAUUUAAGGUUCAGAUGCUCAGUAACAAACUCCACCAAUGAGCCAACAGGGAAGCUUUAGGUUUAUUAAAUGUUGCUAUGAAGGUUUCACUGUUUUUCUUUGUGAAUGCAAUGUGCUCCAACUGAAACUUGAAUUAGAACUUAGAAGUAAAUCCUUCCAUCUGAAAGGAUUUAGUUGCAUUAAUAACCUCAUAACAUUCUAAUUUUUAUUCCAGUCUUGGUUGGAAAUAGAAUCUCUGUAUUGAUUCAGGUAAAAACUGAACUUCACAGCAUGUUGAAGCAAAACAACCAGAUGAAAACUGUGAUGGUGUUGGAUUGUCAGACUGUAAUGUUGCAGCUCAAAGCAGCUUUUCUAUCUCAGUUCAUUCUGACAUUCAGCUAUGAAUCAACACAGCAGAUGGUGAUCCAUGCUGUGGAAGUCUCACAUCUCCUGAUUUAAUGGAGCUGCUUUGCACUUUUUACACUGUUUAUUCACCAACACUUUAUUUAAUAAAAGUCCCAUCUAGUUUUUAUGAGGAAUGUGAUGUUUUAAUUCUCUGUGAAUAACUGCAGUCUAAUGCAACAGCUGGAGUUGUAACAUCUGUCCUGAUAUUGAUCAUGAAGUAUUGAUCAGAAUACUUAUGGUCAGCAGUCAUCCCUGAAGUUUUAUAUUAAAAUCUUUACUUGUGUUGUGAACUUUGGUAAGAAGCAGAAACGUUAGCGUUGCCAUGGAUACAUGAGUGUUAAAUUCUGUCCAUGUUUCCAUUUUGGGAAAUUCAGUCCAGUUCCACAAUGUGGAGGAAUUUAGUCUUACAAUCACAGACAACAAAUAUUAUCUGAAAGUUGGGUUAUUGUUGUUUAUCAGCACAAUACAAAAAGAUUAAUGUUAGAAAUAUUCCAGUUAAGACUCCAGAAUAUUAUGAUUUAUGUAAAUUUACCUCAAUAAUAUGAAUGUUCCGGUUAAGAUUGUGCAGUGAUAUUUAUUAUGCAAGUUUAGCUGAUUAAAGUUUAUGACUCUGCACUAAAAUAUUAUUUAAAUUGACAUAAUAAUAUUUAGGGUCAGACCCUACAGUAUUGAGAUUAAGAAAUCAAAUAUUCUAUAAAAUGUAAAUACACUGAACUAAUUUUGAUAUAUUUAAGUGAGACUCUACAAUAUUAUUUGACACAAAUCUAUCCUAAAUCAAAAUUUUAAUAAUUUUCAUGCCAAACAUUUACUGGACUGAUUUAAAUAUUAAAAUCACUUCUUUCUAAUCCUCUGCUGUAUGUUCAAACCUGAGGCCUUAAAUAGAAACACACAAGUAUCUGUUUGAAGGAACUUCUGCAGAGUUCUGGUUCCAGAACAUGAUGAUAGAAUUAUAGACAAACUUUAACAAAAGCUGCCUGAGAGUUUACAGGUUUUUAUGUUGGAUUUCUUCAGUAAUUUAAUGAGCGUUUUCAGCAAAAAUCAAUUGUUCAUUUGAUGAACUUCAUUUCCUAAAACAUCCAGAAUUGGAGCUCAUAUCUUUGGCAGCUGUAAAGUUUCUGCUCCUUCAAAGUUCACAAUGAAUUAAUUCCUAAAACACUCUCAAUGCUGGAGAGCGUUUGUGAUGCUGAAGCAGUGAUCAGUUUUUCUGUUUCUUCUCUGGAGAUGCACAAUGAGGGACGUCUGCAGAGACUGAGAAGGAGUCUCACCACAUCCUGACAUGAGGAAAAAGACUUUAUUGAAGACUACAAUGAGAAAAACUAUCAGACAGCAGACGGCUGCAUUCAAGUCUGUAGAUGCUGAAUUCAUGAUGAAUCAUCUGGCACUAGAGAGGAAGACCAUCAAACAUCCACGUCAGCUGAUGGAGGUCCAAGAGUCUCACCGAACAAACAACCUACAGAGUGAAGACGAAUCUGAUUGGACGGCCUCCUAUUCAGCCACAUGUGUGAACAAAUGCCUCUAAGCUGAUUUGUUUUCUACAAUAAAUCUAGUUUGAGUCCUA
Amphiprion ocellaris (clown anemonefish) is the source of this 2178-nucleotide long non-coding RNA. The record is from Ensembl. NCBI's taxonomy places the organism in Eukaryota, Metazoa, Chordata, Actinopteri, Pomacentridae.